GAGCGUUGGCCUCUUGUGGCCAAAGAGCGCAGAGCGGGCAGCGUCGGCUUCGGUAGCAACAGUCGGCGUCGCUCACUUGGAGGGGGGGGGCGCUUUGCCCGCUUGUUUUCGAGGCGAGCUCCGGGAGGGGAAGAGGAGCCCCCCCGAGCGAGAGAAACGGCGGGGGGGGCGCUUCGCUCGGGCUCCCCUUCCCCUCGCGGGACCCGGGAAAGGGUCCCGCGGGGAGCACCGCUCCCAGAACGGGAGGAGGAAAGGCGCCGCUGUGAGGGGGAGACGGGGACGGAGAGCACGAGACGCGCGCCCCCCCCCCCAUCCUCGCUCGUUUAUCCGUUGCCCCAGGGGGGGAGGUUUAAAAAGGAAACGGCAGCAGGAAUCUCUGAGGAGCCCGCAGGGGGUGGCUUGUGGUUAGCUCAGGAGAUCCUUCCCCGACCGCCCCAUCCUUUCCUCCCUCACCUGAACUGAAGGGCAAGGAGCGGGGAGUCUGUGGGUCCCUCACCCGCCUCCCCUUCCCACGAAAGGAAAAUGGUGCAGAAGGAGACAGAGUGGCAAAUAAGGCCGGGAGGGGGACGAGGGGAGACGCUGUGAGUGAGAGGAGGUAGCAGCGGGAACUGGAGGGGGGGAGGUGAAGAGAUAGUUUGACCUGCCCCCCCCUCGCCUUUCCCCCCUCACCCCCCCCCCGCCGUCCUCUCUGCCACCAGCAUUAGCUGCUUUCCAUCUCUAUCCUUGUCUUUUUCCUCCGCCUGCAACCUCAACAAUCCCCCCCUCCUCCCCCACCCCUAUUUUCGUGUCACCCUCGCCCUUCUCCUCCCGGCGCUUGGCAGAGCGGUUGGCAGGGUUUCUUUGCUGUGGAAGAUGGCGACACCAGGGAUGAGCUGGCAGCAGCACUACUACAGCGGCAGCUCCUCGGGGAGCGCUGGAAAAUUCACCACCUCCACUUCGUCGGCCGCCUCCUCCCAGCUCAGCAUGGAAUAUAAUCAGGAUCUCCAUCUCAAAAUGAGCAAGAAAAUAGCGCAGCUCACCAAGGUAAUAUAUGCUUUGAACACAAAGAAUGAUGAACAUGAGGCUGCUAUUCAAGCCCUCAAAGAUGCUCAUGAAGAAGAAAUCCAACAAAUUAUUGCAGAAACCAGAGAAAAGAUUCUGCAGUAUAAGAGUAAAGUUUCUGAGGAAAUGGAUCUCAAAAGAAAAAUCCAGGUUUUAGAAGAGUCAUUGGAAGAUCAUAAAAAGAUGAAGCAUCAAGCUUUAACUGAGUUUGAAGCAUAUAAAGACAGAGUUGAGGAUAUGCAACUUUGUGCAGAAGCUCAGCAUGUUCAGCGUGUAGUAACUAUGUCACGGGAAGUAGAAGAAAUUAGAAAGAAGUUUGAGGAGAGGUUGCGGAGUUUUAUACAAUUACAAGUGCAGUUGGAAAAGGAUAAACGUUCAGCUCUUGAAGAACUAAGAGCUGCACAUAGACUUGAGGUCCAGGAACUUGUAAAGACCCAUCAGAACCAGAAUGCUACUUUAAAUAAGGGACAGGAAAAGUUAGAAGAAUUACACAGGCGGGAUGUGGAAGAACUGAAUGCCAAAGUUGAAGAGCUAAGAGUGGAAAGAAAAAAGCUAAUUGAGGACUAUGAAGGUAAACUCAGCAAAGCUCAAUCUUUCUAUGAGCAUGAACUUGAUACUAUGAAAAGGUCGCAGCUAUUUACAGCUGAAAGCCUGAAGACCUGCAAAGAGAAGGAAAUAGAACUAAGAAAGGAGUUUCAAAGCCAAGAAUCUGUUUUACGAAAAAACCUGGGAAAACUUAAGACUGAAUUGCAGAUGGUACAGGAUGAAGCAGGUGGUCUACGAGAAAAAUGUCAGAAACUUCAAGUAGCACUCAACACAGCAGAAAACAAUGUGCAGGCUCUUCAAAAACAGUUGGAUGAUGUCAAAGAUGAGGAAAUGUCAUUGUUAAGCAAACACAAAGAGGUUGAAAGUGAACUAGCAGCUGCUCGAGAACGUUUACAGCAACAGGCCACAGAUCUAGUACUAAAAGCCAGUCAUAUUGGAAUGCUUCAAGCAACACAAAUGACCCAGGAAGUUACAAUAAGGGAUUUGGAAUCAGAAAAAUCUAGAUUAAAGGAGAAACUGUCCCAGCUAGAAGAUGAAAGAAAUCUAUUACAAAGCAAAACACAGAGCCUGGAUGAAAGACAAAGGCAACAAAUUCUUGCACUGGAGAAGAAAGUGAAUGAAGCAAGGGAAACACAACGAGAAUAUUAUGAGAAGGAGCUGAUAAAACUGCAAGCCAGGCUGGAAGGGGAGGCUGCACAAUUAAAUGAGGCUCAUUCUAAGACCUUGGAGGAGUUGGCAUGGAAACAUCAUACUGCUCUUGAGGCAGCACAUAGCACUGCUAACAAGGAGAAAAAGAAACUGCAAAUGGAGUUGGAGCAGCACUUUGAAAAAGAGAAGAUACAUUUUGAAGACGAGAAGAAUCAGCUUCGACAGCAGUUGGAAAACCUGAGGGAAGAACUGACAACCAAGUUGACUUCAUCCAAUCAGGAGAUGGGUCGAUUACAAGAUCUAGUAAGAAAAAGUGAACAGGGCCUUGGUACUGCAGAAGGGCACAUCUCCAAUCUCCAGGAAACCCAGGAAAUACUACAAAAAGAACUGGAGUUAACCAGGGCAAGACUGAGGGAGACCACUGAUUCUCUGUAUAAUGUUCAGGGGGAACUAGACCAGGAAAGACAGCAGCAUGAAGUAAUGAUUGUAGCUAUGAGGGAAGAGGAAAAAUUCAAAGUUGACAGAAUGGCCCGUGAUCUAGAAAUAAAAUGGACAGAGAAUCUUCGGCAGGAAUGUACCAAACUUCGAGAAGAGUUAAGGCUUCAGCAUGAGGAGGAUAAAAAGUCAGCAAUGACUCAACUUCUGCAGCUAAAAGAGAGAGAGAAAAAUGCUGCCAGAGAUAGCUGGCAGAAGAAAGUUGAAGAUCUUUUGGAUCAGCGGCACUGUCUCGGUGAAGCUUUGCAUAAAUCUAUCAGCAAUAUCUCCCUGUUGAAGCAGAAUCUAGAAAUGCAGCUUUCCCAGUCUCAGACUUCAAUGCAGCAACUUCAGGCACAAUUUAGCCAGGAGCGACAGAGGCUGGCCCAAGAGAUUGAAGAGCUAGAAGAAGAGCAUCAACAAAGACACAAGUCCUUGAAAGAAGCACAUAUCCUUGCAUUUCAGAACAUGGAGGAAACAAAAGAAGAAGAGCAAAAGGAACUUGAGGAACGUUUAAAACAGAAGCACUUAGAAGAACUUCAUGCGCUGAAAGAAGCACACAGGCAAGCUAUGGAUGCUUUCAAACUAGAAAUGGAACAGGAACUGCAGACUCUUCGCUUUGAACUAGAAGAUGAAGGGAAAGCUAUGCUUGCAUCUUUGCGCUCAGAACUAAACCAUCAGCAUGCUGCAGCAAUUGAUCAACUAAGACAUAAUCAUCAACAAGAACUAGCAGCUGCUAAAAUGGAACUUGAAAGAAGCAUAGAGCUUAGCAGGCACCAGGAAAAGGAGUUUGUUUGCCGGAUAUCAGAUCUACAGGAUGAAUUGAGGCAUCGAGACCACCAUAUAUCUGAACUGGAUAAGGAGAUUCUUGCUCUGCAUGAAAACAUAAGUGCACUAACCAAGGAACUGGAAUUUAAAGGGAAGGAGGUUCUCAGAAUACGUAGUGAAUCCAACCAACAAAUUAGGCUGCAUGAACAAGAUUUAAACAAGAAACAUGAGAAAGAGCUGGAUGUCAUGACAGCAGACCACAUCAGAGAAAGACAAAGCAUGCUGGCAGAUUUUAAUAAGACCCAAGAGCUGCUCAAGGAAAUUAAUUCAGCUUUGCAAAUUUCUUUAGAAGAAAUGGAAGAAAAAUAUCAAAACAGGGAAUCAAGACCAGAAGAUGUACAGCUUAUUGCAGAGUUGAAAGACCUGAUUGCUGAGAGGGAUCAGCUAAUAAAGAAACUGAUUGAUGACAAGAAAUUCUAUCAACUGGAACUAGUCAAUAGGGAGACUAACUUCAACAAGGUGUUUAAUGCAAGUCCUAAUGUUGGUGUUAUUAACCCUCUGGUGAAGCAAAAGAAGAAGAAUGAUAAAUCAGCAAACAGGUUUGUGAGUGUCCCCAAUCUAAGUGCUCUGGAAUCUAGUGGAGUGGGCAAUGGACAUGCUAACCGCCUGGAUCCUAUUCCAAAUUCACCCAUCCAUGAUAUUGAGUUCAACAGCAGCAGACCACUUCCACAUCCUAUACCACCCAAAGAGCCCAAGACGGUUUUGAGGCGUCACUAACAUGCAUGUGCAUGAAUUCAUGGAUUGCGAUGCUGGAGUUUCCAUUGCAAAUUAUUUCGUGCCUUGUAUUACCCCCCAAAAACGCCCUCCUCAGACUGAAGCUUCUCCAAUGGCUUCACCCGAUCCACAACGUCAGGAAUGGUUUGCCCGUUACUUCACAUUCUGAGAGAUUAUUUUUGUGUGUGGCACAGUGUGGUGUGGACUGUUCAUAAGAGCAUGACCUUAAAAUAAACCCUUAUGUGAACAAGCUUACCUGUAAUAUGUCAAACACUGUGAAUGAGAAAGUAUUUUGUCUCUGAUUUGAAAAUGCACUGUAUUUUAUGUGAUAUUUGUUGGAAUCACUUGACAUGGUAAUAUAAAUGUGCUUAAUGACACUUUUAUUUUUAUUUAAAAUGGAAGAGUAUUUAAACUUUGUAAUUACUGCAUAACAAAUUUUCGUAGAAGAAACUUAAAGCUUCCUACCCAUUUUCCUAUAAAUAUGUAUUUUCUUUGGUUUCAGGAAAAGCUUUCCCCCUCCUGUCUCCCAUCCCAAAUGCAAUCAGUUGCAUGGUUAUUGUAUAUCAAAAUAAACUGUCAACAGUUUAAAAAUCAGAUUGCGGGAAGAUAUGUUUAAAUCCUUCUGUUUUUAUUUAGUUAUCUUGUAGAACUUGACUUUUAAAAUUGUGUUUACUCUAAAAGUGGUGAAGAAUGCAAAAUAAAUAGCAGUAGUAUAGCUGAUGGCCUUUAGAGUGAUUUUAAGAACAUGACAUCCUUAUUUCUUAUCUACAACUGAUCUGCCCUUUAGUAAUUAUAAUUACUAUAUUUUAAUGUUGGAUUUCAUCAAACUUUUGUCAAAUAUUUUAUAAAUAUCUACAAAGACAGUGCUCUUUAGAACAUGUGGGGUACUACACUAUGUAAUGCUGUAUUAAUGAAUAAUCAUUUAUGGAAAUCUGCAUUUUGAGGACAUUAUAAUUUGGGAGCAAAACUCAGGCUUUACAAAAAAAAAUAGUGCUAAAUCAAUUAUGCAUAAUAAAGCAUGCAAAUCUUUCAUUAGAGCUCCAGCAUACUUAACUUACAAAGAAAGAUGUUCCAUCUUACAUUAUAAAAUUAAGCCAGGGACCACAUGACCUUUUUCAUAUGGCAAAUGAGCCUGAUUUUCCACUCUAUUCCACUUGUCUUACAGAUGUGCAAUCUCUCUGGCAGAAAAUAUGUAAUACCAUGGCAAAUCUGGUUUAUAUACUUUUGUUGAUGAUGUUGUCAAUUCCAAGAUUACCACAAUGCAGCUGACACUGGUAAUCUCAGGGAGAAUUUUUUUCUUUUAUGAAUGUACUUUCAGACCUGAUAUUUGUAUCUUUAAAAAAAAGAGGGGGGAUUGCUUGGUUAUUUUAAAUAAGAUUUUUAUCCUUCGAUACAGAAUUAUAGCUCUUCAUUAUUUCUGCUGAAGCCCUGACCAUGUCUUCCCAUUAUGCAAAAACAUAAUCAAAGGUACCAUUAAUAGUUACAAUAAGUUUUAUAUGUAGCAUAUGUAUAAAAGAAUAAUUUGUAUGUUUUCAUAUAAAAUAUAAAAUAUUCUAAAUCAGAAUUUUAAAAAUGUAUCUCUUGCAAACUCAGCCUGAAAGCUUCACUGGAAGCAGUGUUCUAAUGUUUUGCUGCUAAUCUAAAGCAGUGUUUGGCAGAUACUCUAUGGUUGAUGGUUUUAACUGUAGGUAUAUGCAGCCUUUACAUUAGAAGAAAGCCAUAUCGAGUCAAAGUCAGAUUUCUUGGCUAUUGUGUGAAAUAAAACACACUGGAUGAUUUUGCUAUGA
Podarcis muralis (Common wall lizard) is the source of this 6038-nucleotide non-coding RNA. Lineage: Eukaryota; Metazoa; Chordata; Lepidosauria; Squamata; Lacertidae. The record is from RefSeq and is a predicted model, not a curated record.